RNAcentral lists this ribosomal RNA (492 nucleotides) under Triticum aestivum (bread wheat). RNAcentral's name for it is "partial small subunit ribosomal RNA". The record is from RNAcentral. Lineage: Eukaryota; Viridiplantae; Streptophyta; Magnoliopsida; Poales; Poaceae.
AUGUGUGUCCCUGACCUCAGUAUUCUCAGGAGUGCUGUGUUAGGAGAUAAACAUUAUAAUUUGGGAGCCAUUGUUGCACGUAGGUUGCAUCAUAAUAGAUUUAAUGGAGAUUUCUUUGGUGGAAUUUAUGCAACCCGUAUAGCUAAUUUUCUUGGUGUAACCAUACGUGAGGAUGAUAUUGAGUUGCCUCCUGCUUAUUUAGAUUAUGAAGCUAUGGCGCAUCACCGUUUUGUUGAAAGGAACAAUCAGUUCCUCCAGCACCGACUAAUCUUUGACAGACGACGCACCUAUCAUGUCGCUCUCCCUGCUUCUACUUUCUUUGACUUUCAGGCAAAGGGGAGAUAUUACAUAACCAGAGAGGAGGCGGAUGAGUAUAAGAGGAGGGCUGAGAUAGCUCGCCUCCAAGCUGCAGCCCACGAUGCAAUGACUGCUGCAUCUCAGUACGACCCCAACUAUAACUUUGGAUAUCCACCAGGCCAGCCGUGGCAAUAG